UCCAAUUCUAUAAUAUUGUUUUCAAUUUCGAAACCUUUUUGCAUUAUUUAAAACCCUUAUUAAAUGCUAUCACUUUGCCAUCACCCGAUGAUUCUUGAAUCCAUAAUGCACAACAAGAGAGUUAGUUGGUGAGACGGAGAGGAGAGAAAUCUAUGGCUAUUGGAGUGCAUCACAUAACAGAUUGAAGAGUAGUAUCAACUGCUUCCACCUUUAUGGCUGUUAGAAUGCAUCACACAACGGAUUGAAGAGUAGCAUUAACACCUUCUGAUG
Molecule: unclassified non-coding RNA, 270 nt
Filed under: Hevea brasiliensis (rubber tree)
Lineage: Eukaryota; Viridiplantae; Streptophyta; Magnoliopsida; Malpighiales; Euphorbiaceae
Source: RNAcentral